GCAUUGGUGGUUCAGUGGUAGAAUUCUCGCCUGCCACGCGGGAGGAUCAGGUUCGAUUCCCGGCCAAUGCA
This is a non-coding RNA of Manis pentadactyla (Chinese pangolin), 71 nucleotides long. The record is from the annotation of a RefSeq genome assembly. NCBI's taxonomy places the organism in Eukaryota, Metazoa, Chordata, Mammalia, Pholidota, Manidae.